UUAAGGGGAGCCUUUAAGGCUGAGAGGAUAAAGAUCGACCCUUGACCUGAUCUAGGUAAUGCUAGCGAAGGGAUAAUGUGAAAUAU
RNAcentral lists this non-coding RNA (86 nucleotides) under uncultured Anaeroplasma sp. RNAcentral describes it as "TPP riboswitch (THI element)". It matches the Rfam family "TPP riboswitch aptamer (THI element)", at positions 8 to 101 of the family's 105-position model. Rfam says of the family: Vitamin B(1) in its active form thiamin pyrophosphate (TPP) is an essential coenzyme that is synthesised by coupling of pyrimidine and thiazole moieties in bacteria. The previously detected thiamin-regulatory element, thi box was extended, resulting in a new, highly conserved RNA secondary structure, the THI element, which is widely distributed in eubacteria and also occurs in some archaea. Lineage: Bacteria; Bacillati; Mycoplasmatota; Mollicutes; Anaeroplasmatales; Anaeroplasmataceae. The record is from RNAcentral.